This 254-nucleotide ribosomal RNA is filed under the name uncultured bacterium. RNAcentral's name for it is "partial 16S ribosomal RNA". It matches the Rfam family "Bacterial small subunit ribosomal RNA", at positions 524 to 776 of the family's 1533-position model. The record is from RNAcentral.
UACGUAGGGGGCUAGCGUUGUCCGGAUUCAUUGGGCGUAAAGAGCUCGUAGGCGGCUCGGUAAGUCGGGUGUGAAACCUCUGGGCUCAACCCAGAGACGCCACCCGAUACUGCCAUGGCUAGAGUCCAGCAGGGGAGCGUGGAAUUCCCGGUGUAGCGGUGAAAUGCGCAGAUAUCGGGAGGAACACCAGCGGCGAAGGCGGCGCUCUGGGCUGGAACUGACGCUGAGGAGCGAAAGCGUGGGUAGCGAACAGG